This 501-nucleotide ribosomal RNA is filed under the name Triticum aestivum (bread wheat). RNAcentral's name for it is "partial small subunit ribosomal RNA". The record is from RNAcentral. Lineage: Eukaryota; Viridiplantae; Streptophyta; Magnoliopsida; Poales; Poaceae.
AUGAAUCAUGUGUCUCCACCAUUUCAAAUCCUCCGCGCGCCUAAGAUACCACUUGAGAAAUUACUAAUGGCCAACGGAAAGAAUGUUGUGGCCAUGUUAUUUCUCACCACCAUUGUGGCGGUGGCGGCCACAAGGCCAGCCGACACCUAUGGCGCUGCGGAGGAGAACAUAUUGAAGAUGGCUACCCCCAGCAGGAAAGGGGUUGACGCUACCUUAGCAGCUACACGUGUUGUUGCCGCCGAGAAGUCCAUGAAGAAGGCUGAAAGCGCCACCACACCAGAAGAGGCCGCGGCUGCCAAGCAAGAUGGAGCAAAAUCUGCUUCUGCUGCAUUAAAGUACAAUGCCAUCUCUCAGCAGGCAACUGGUAAAGGUUCUUCUACCUCCCCAGGCAGGAAAGAAGCAGCCGGUACUUUAGUUGCCACACACUAUGCUGCCGCCGAAAAGUCCAUCAAGAAGGCCGAAACCGCCACGACACCUGAAAAGGCCGUGGCUGCCAAGUGA